RNAcentral lists this non-coding RNA (21 nucleotides) under Arabidopsis thaliana (thale cress). Lineage: Eukaryota; Viridiplantae; Streptophyta; Magnoliopsida; Brassicales; Brassicaceae. The record is from RNAcentral.
CUAUGACUCUCUUAAGGUAGC